GUAGCUUCAGCAGCACAUAUACUAAAACUGGAAUGAUACAGAGAAGACUGGCAUGGCCCCUGCACAGGAAUGACACACAAAUUCAUGAAGCGUUCCAUACUCAA
RNAcentral lists this small nuclear RNA (104 nucleotides) under Melopsittacus undulatus (budgerigar). Lineage: Eukaryota; Metazoa; Chordata; Aves; Psittaciformes; Psittaculidae. The record is from RNAcentral.